AGAGUUUGAUCCUGGCUCAGAACGAACGUUGGCGGCGUGGAUUAGGCAUGCAAGUCGGGGGAAUCCCAGCAAUGGGGGAACCGGCGUAAGGGGCAGUAAGGCAUGGGUACCUACCCUCGGAUUCGGGAUAGCCAUCAGAGAUGGUGGGUAAUACCGGAUGAUGUCGUGAGACCAAAGAUUUAUCGUCCGGGGAGGGGCCCAUGUGAUAUUAGCUAGUUGGUGAGGUAAUGGCUCACCAAGGCGAAGAUGUCUAGCGGGUGUGAGAGCACGACCCGCGCCACUCGCACUGAGACACUGGCGAGACACCUACGGGUGGCUGCAGUCGAGGAUCUUCGGCAAUGAGCGCAAGCUUGACCGAGCGACGCCGCGUGAGCGAUGAAGGCCUUCGGGUUGUAAAGCUCUUUAGGGGGGGAGAAAAGUCAGCAAUGGUGUGAUCUAUCCCCAAAAUAAGCACGGGCUAAGUUCGUGCCAGCAGCCGCGGUAAGACGAACCGUGCGAACGUUGUUCGGAAUCACUGGGCUUAAAGGGAGCGUAGGCGGGCUAUCAAGUCUGGGGUGAAAUACCACGGCUCAACCGUGGAACUGCCUCAGAUACUGACGGCCUCGAGGGAGAUAGGGGCAUGCGGGACUGUAGGUGGAGCGGUGAAAUGCGUUGAUAUCUACAGGAACUCCGGUGGCGAAAGCGGCGUGCUGGAUCUCUUCUGACGCUGAGGCUCGAAAGCUAGGGGAGCAAACGGGAUUAGAUACCCCGGUAGUCCUAGCCCUAAACGAUGGGUACUAGAUAGUAGACUAGAUAUGGGU
RNAcentral lists this ribosomal RNA (800 nucleotides) under uncultured bacterium. RNAcentral describes it as "bacterial SSU rRNA". It matches the Rfam family "Bacterial small subunit ribosomal RNA", at positions 8 to 839 of the family's 1533-position model. The record is from RNAcentral.